This 253-nucleotide ribosomal RNA is filed under the name uncultured bacterium. RNAcentral's name for it is "partial 16S ribosomal RNA". It matches the Rfam family "Bacterial small subunit ribosomal RNA", at positions 524 to 776 of the family's 1533-position model. The record is from RNAcentral.
UACGAAGGGGGCGAGCGUUGUUCGGAUUUACUGGGCGUAAAGGGCGCGCAGGCGGCGAUCUUUGUCAGGCGUGAAAGCCCCGGGCUUAACCUGGGAACUGCGCUUGGGACGGGAUUGCUGGAGACCGGGAGAGGAGAGUGGAAUUCCCAGUGUAGAGGUGAAAUUCGUAGAUAUCGAGAGGAACACCAGUGGCGAAGGCGAGUCUCUGGACGACACCUGACACUGAGGCACGAAAGCUAGGGGAGCAAACAGG